GCAGGCGGGCCAAGCGCCGGGGCUCCACCCGUUCCCAUCCCGAACACGGCCGUGACACCCGGCAGCGCCGAUGGUACUUCCCACAAGGGAGGAAGCGUAGGUCCCCGCCCGCU
RNAcentral lists this ribosomal RNA (113 nucleotides) under Fodinibius salipaludis. Lineage: Bacteria; Pseudomonadati; Balneolota; Balneolia; Balneolales; Balneolaceae. The record is from RNAcentral.